CCUACGGGUCGCACCAGUGGGGAAUAUUGCACAAUGGGCGCAAGCCUGAUGCAGCCAUGCCGCGUGUAUGAAGAAGGCCUUCGGGUUGUAAAGUACUUUCAGCGGGGAGGAAGGCGAUAAGGUUAAUAACCACAGCAAUUGACGUUACCCGCAGAAGAAGCACCGGCUAACUCCGUGCCAGCAGCCGCGGUAAUACGGAGGGUGCAAGCGUUAAUCGGAAUUACUGGGCGUAAAGCGCACGCAGGCGGUCUGUCAAGUCGGAUGUGAAAUCCCCGGGCUCAACCUGGGAACUGCAUUCGAAACUGGCAGGCUAGAGUCUUGUAGAGGGGGGUAGAAUUCCAGGUGUAGCGGUGAAAUGCGUAGAGAUCUGGAGGAAUACCGGUGGCGAAGGCGGCCCCCUGGACAAAGGCUGACGCUCAGGUGCGAAAGCGUGGGGAGCAAACAGGAUUAGAUACCCUUGUAGUC
This 465-nucleotide ribosomal RNA is filed under the name uncultured bacterium. RNAcentral describes it as "bacterial SSU rRNA". It matches the Rfam family "Bacterial small subunit ribosomal RNA", at positions 338 to 795 of the family's 1533-position model. The record is from RNAcentral.